Molecule: ribosomal RNA, 2362 nt
Filed under: Escherichia coli
Lineage: Bacteria; Pseudomonadati; Pseudomonadota; Gammaproteobacteria; Enterobacterales; Enterobacteriaceae
Description: 23S ribosomal RNA
Rfam family: Bacterial large subunit ribosomal RNA
Source: RNAcentral
GUGUGACUGCGUACCUUUUGUAUAAUGGGUCAGCGACUUAUAUUCUGUAGCAAGGUUAACCGAAUAGGGGAGCCGAAGGGAAACCGAGUCUUAACUGGGCGUUAAGUUGCAGGGUAUAGACCCGAAACCCGGUGAUCUAGCCAUGGGCAGGUUGAAGGUUGGGUAACACUAACUGGAGGACCGAACCGACUAAUGUUGAAAAAUUAGCGGAUGACUUGUGGCUGGGGGUGAAAGGCCAAUCAAACCGGGAGAUAGCUGGUUCUCCCCGAAAGCUAUUUAGGUAGCGCCUCGUGAAUUCAUCUCCGGGGGUAGAGCACUGUUUCGGCAAGGGGGUCAUCCCGACUUACCAACCCGAUGCAAACUGCGAAUACCGGAGAAUGUUAUCACGGGAGACACACGGCGGGUGCUAACGUCCGUCGUGAAGAGGGAAACAACCCAGACCGCCAGCUAAGGUCCCAAAGUCAUGGUUAAGUGGGAAACGAUGUGGGAAGGCCCAGACAGCCAGGAUGUUGGCUUAGAAGCAGCCAUCAUUUAAAGAAAGCGUAAUAGCUCACUGGUCGAGUCGGCCUGCGCGGAAGAUGUAACGGGGCUAAACCAUGCACCGAAGCUGCGGCAGCGACGCUUAUGCGUUGUUGGGUAGGGGAGCGUUCUGUAAGCCUGUGAAGGUGUACUGUGAGGUAUGCUGGAGGUAUCAGAAGUGCGAAUGCUGACAUAAGUAACGAUAAAGCGGGUGAAAAGCCCGCUCGCCGGAAGACCAAGGGUUCCUGUCCAACGUUAAUCGGGGCAGGGUGAGUCGACCCCUAAGGCGAGGCCGAAAGGCGUAGUCGAUGGGAAACAGGUUAAUAUUCCUGUACUUGGUGUUACUGCGAAGGGGGGACGGAGAAGGCUAUGUUGGCCGGGCGACGGUUGUCCCGGUUUAAGCGUGUAGGCUGGUUUUCCAGGCAAAUCCGGAAAAUCAAGGCUGAGGCGUGAUGACGAGGCACUACGGUGCUGAAGCAACAAAUGCCCUGCUUCCAGGAAAAGCCUCUAAGCAUCAGGUAACAUCAAAUCGUACCCCAAACCGACACAGGUGGUCAGGUAGAGAAUACCAAGGCGCUUGAGAGAACUCGGGUGAAGGAACUAGGCAAAAUGGUGCCGUAACUUCGGGAGAAGGCACGCUGAUAUGUAGGUGAAGCGACUUGCUCGUGGAGCUGAAAUCAGUCGAAGAUACCAGCUGGCUGCAACUGUUUAUUAAAAACACAGCACUGUGCAAACACGAAAGUGGACGUAUACGGUGUGACGCCUGCCCGGUGCCGGAAGGUUAAUUGAUGGGGUCAGCGCAAGCGAAGCUCUUGAUCGAAGCCCCGGUAAACGGCGGCCGUAACUAUAACGGUCCUAAGGUAGCGAAAUUCCUUGUCGGGUAAGUUCCGACCUGCACGAAUGGCGUAAUGAUGGCCAGGCUGUCUCCACCCGAGACUCAGUGAAAUUGAACUCGCUGUGAAGAUGCAGUGUACCCGCGGCAAGACGGAAAGACCCCGUGAACCUUUACUAUAGCUUGACACUGAACAUUGAGCCUUGAUGUGUAGGAUAGGUGGGAGGCUUUGAAGUGUGGACGCCAGUCUGCAUGGAGCCGACCUUGAAAUACCACCCUUUAAUGUUUGAUGUUCUAACGUNNNNNNNNNNNNNNNNNAUCCGGGUUGCGGACAGUGUCUGGUGGGUAGUUUGACUGGGGCGGUCUCCUCCUAAAGAGUAACGGAGGAGCACGAAGGUUGGCUAAUCCUGGUCGGACAUCAGGAGGUUAGUGCAAUGGCAUAAGCCAGCUUGACUGCGAGCGUGACGGCGCGAGCAGGUGCGAAAGCAGGUCAUAGUGAUCCGGUGGUUCUGAAUGGAAGGGCCAUCGCUCAACGGAUAAAAGGUACUCCGGGGAUAACAGGCUGAUACCGCCCAAGAGUUCAUAUCGACGGCGGUGUUUGGCACCUCGAUGUCGGCUCAUCACAUCCUGGGGCUGAAGUAGGUCCCAAGGGUAUGGCUGUUCGCCAUUUAAAGUGGUACGCGAGCUGGGUUUAGAACGUCGUGAGACAGUUCGGUCCCUAUCUGCCGUGGGCGCUGGAGAACUGAGGGGGGCUGCUCCUAGUACGAGAGGACCGGAGUGGACGCAUCACUGGUGUUCGGGUUGUCAUGCCAAUGGCACUGCCCGGUAGCUAAAUGCGGAAGAGAUAAGUGCUGAAAGCAUCUAAGCACGAAACUUGCCCCGAGAUGAGUUCUCCCUGACUCCUUGAGAGUCCUGAAGGAACGUUGAAGACGACGACGUUGAUAGGCCGGGUGUGUAAGCGCAGCGAUGCGUUGAGCUAACCGGUACUAAUGAACCGUGAGGCUUAACCUU